CCUUUGUAUCUCUAUUCCAUGUUUAUUUACUAAACAAUGAAUUAUACUUAAAAUUACAUGGUCACAUUUAACGUUUUAGAGGAACAAAAUGGUUAAAUAAAACUUAGCUGUUGGCUAUACAAAUCUUCAUGUACGUUAUUCUUCAAGCACACUGGGCAAAACAUGCAAAUUGGUAACUCCAGUUAGGAUGGUCAUUUGCUUGUACGGAAUGUAUUUCUCAUCGUAUGUGAAUAGAAUGUAUUUGCUUAUGAAUUCAAGUCCUUGAGGAGAAACAAGUCAAGCUAGGUUUGUGAGGGCUGCCUCCGGCAUAGUAUGAUUUCCGUCAUUUAUGGAAUUUAAAUGACACGUCAAUAAUCCUAAGUACAUUAACAAAGCUUGUGUAUUUGACUUGGCUUAGGGAUCCUUCUUGUAUAAAGGGUGUAAUGCAUACGAAGUUGCAACUGGAUGGUUGAAAACCUGAAUUCACAGGAAUAUCCUUUUAAUGGUAAAGAUUUAAAUGUCUUUCCACAUUCUGAAAUGUUUCUUUACUCACAUAUGAAAUAACAGACCGUGCUUUGUGACACCCUGUCAUAGGAUAUAAAAGAAAUUAGUAGCGCUUUAAAGAGAUUCUAUAGUGUUAUGAAUACAAAUCUGUAUUCCUAACACUACAAUGCCUUCUGUUCCCCCCUGCACAUUAAGGGGAGUUGGGAGGAGGGGCUAAUGUAUGGUGAGCUCCACAAGCGCAUUAGGCCCUCCCCAUAGGAAAGCAGUACCUCGAUGCUUUCCUAUGGGAAUUUCACUGACCCUUUAUGUCCUCAUGCAGACUGUGAGGACAUCAAGCAUCGUUUCAGUGGAACCAGAGUCUGGAAACUGGAAGCGCCUUAAAUUCCUGACAAUUCACCCAAUAAGAUAUAUUCAGUGAAUUCAAAAGGCAAAACUGAGAUUUGAUUUCUUGCCAAGAGGUCUACAUCGUUUUAGGAAAUGCCAUUUUUAAAAUUAGAGCAGAUAAACUGAUUCAGAAUACCAAGCAUUUCCACUGCAGAAAUAUUCGUAAAAUACUAGUGAAGAAUUUUCAAGACCACAGAAUUGGCAUGGGAUUUUCUGAUGCUUUAUUAUUGAUACAAGCCGAUUCGGGGGUGAAGGUCCUUGGCGAUGCAGACAAACUCUAUAUCCUUAAGUUCAUCAACACUAAUCUUAAAAUCCCCAAUGCUGCUUCAAGAGUUCGAAUUGACACCAGAAAAUCAAACUUCAAAUGUCCACACUGAACAUGGUACCAAUAUAUCCUAUUUCUCUUGAACAUGUCACCUAAAAUCAUUUCUAAUAGGUAUGUUUUUCUUCUUUCUUACAACCAGCGAGAACAGAUACAGUGGUAAUACACCACGAUUUGCAGCAGCCGCUUUAAACUGUACUAAAACAAGGAUAUCUUUUUGUCGUUGAGCUCAGUUCCUUAAACUCACAUUUCCCAGCAAUCAUACGCGGGAGUUUCCAAUAUUUGUCACAAAAAUGGAAAUUCGGUUAUUUACCAUUAGAAAGUCACAGCCCAUCAGUUUUUCUACAAUGUUCUAUCUGUCUAACAGCUUUAUUUGGUAGCCAAUUAUUGUAUAUACAUUAUUCACACAAGGUUUCCAGGGGCUGUAGUGUUAAGAUUAUGAUUAUUAUAGGUGAUAUUAAUUAAUUAAUUUGGGCUAUAUUGGUAAAAAUACAGCCCUUAUGAUGAACCACAAAUAAGAACGUUUGCUCUUCCACUGACGCAGCAUAAUGGACUGAAGGCCAAAACUGCCUCUACUUGACAAGCAACCUAGUAAGAACUCACUGCUGCCACCCAGUGACCAAGAUGGAUAGUUACUGGAAAGCUAAAUUCAAAAUGAUAGAAUAAUCACCUUCCCAAUGGAUGAUUAUACAGCACAUUUUUGUUUUAACAUGUAGGUGGCUGCUGUUCGGUUAUCUUACCAUGUUGUACAGGAUUGAGUCUUUAUUCUAAGUAUAAUAUAUAAAUAAGGAAGUAAAUCUGCAUUUUAUGCCUUCCCCCCUGAAAAAAAUAUCUGUUAUAUCUAUUUUUUAUUUUUACAUUAUUAUAUGACCCCAUAAAAAUAACAAAACAAAC
Molecule: non-coding RNA, 2083 nt
Organism: Pelobates cultripes (western spadefoot toad)
Lineage: Eukaryota; Metazoa; Chordata; Amphibia; Anura; Pelobatidae
Source: the annotation of a GenBank genome assembly